GGGCGAACCCUAGUUGUCCUCACAGGCAGGAGGACGCCACAGGGGAAACAACGUUGGGGAGCUGAGACAGGGAGUCGAGAGAUAGGGAUAUGAGGGCUAAGUGGAAGAAGAAGCGUAUGCGCAGGCUGAAGAGGAAGCGCAGGAAGAUGAGGCAGAGAUCCAAGUAGGAGGGUGAGCAGUUGCAGGAGUUCCUAAUUUUAAUUCUCGUCGGUUGCUGUUUGAAUUUCUGGCACUAAACUUUAAUUUUAAUUCUUGGAUAUCCAAUUUUUUGAACUUCAGUUUUUGUUUAUUAAAGUUAAAAUUGUCUUCAUUUAACUUUUGUCUUAUAUAUGGAAUCAUGUUUGCGAGA
Molecule: long non-coding RNA, 349 nt
Organism: Zingiber officinale
Lineage: Eukaryota; Viridiplantae; Streptophyta; Magnoliopsida; Zingiberales; Zingiberaceae
Exons: 2
Source: RefSeq, a predicted model, not a curated record